Molecule: long non-coding RNA, 2464 nt
Filed under: Daucus carota (carrot)
Lineage: Eukaryota; Viridiplantae; Streptophyta; Magnoliopsida; Apiales; Apiaceae
Description: long non-coding RNA (DCAR_LNC004612)
Source: RNAcentral
CGAAAAAGGUGACCAACCAUAUCCACCAUAGCCAUACCCGUACCCAUACCCACUGAGUGGUGGAGCCACAGGGGGGUUGAUAUAAAUAUUGGUCCUGAUGGAGAAACAGAUUGAAACAAGAUUAAUAAUGUCUUCAGGGUUACCUUUAUCAAUAACUAUUUUUCAGAAUAGUGCAACGGAAAUUAUAUAAUUGAGACAUGCCUUCCCAUUUUUCCAAAAUAAUAAACAAAAAACUAACUGCAGUCAUCGAAGAACUCAACAUAUUGGUUCAGAAUAGUAUCCUGUGCCUGACUUUUAUGACCCUCUACAACACAGCUGUUAACAUAGUAAUAAAAAGCAACACAUCUCCUCAUUUUAUAUCAGCAAAAAUUUCAUCUUACGGGAUAAAAUUACAGCAAUAUCAUUAAUCUAUCUUAGAUGUACUACUUAAAUUCAGAAGAGUGCAAAGGGAACAUAAAAAACUGGAAACUUGCUUCAUAAUGCCCAUGAAAUAAAAUUUCUUUAUAUGAACAGUAAUAUGUUAUAUGUCAAGAGGUGGAUAAUUUUUACUGGCUUUGUCGAGUAAAGUCCUGAUUCACGGGAUAAGAAGUUAUUAUUCUACAUCACAGUUGACAAGCAUUGACAGUAUAAUUAUCGCCUAGAGGUGCAGAUUAGACGGGGAAGAUUUUGAAAUGUUUACAAACUGAAUGUCUGUUGCUCUGUUUUUCCAAGCAAACAGCAAGGAUCAAGUUUGCCACCAAAAAUCAAAUUCUACAAAUCCAGUCUGAAAGAUAUUUUAACUACUUUUCAUCAAUUUAAUUUUCUUCUCUUAUAUCAUUAGCUGUAUAUACUUUAUCAUUAGCACUAGACAUGCUUUAAUAAGAAAUUAAGUGUACCUGCCCUUCCUCUCUCUAUACUUUAUAGUCUUUCUACAAAGUUUACUUACCAAUAAAAACCUCAAACUGGUUUUAACGAAUAAAAACUCGAUAGGCAGUGGCUAGUAAUAAUCAAUUCAUUCUCUCAUUCAUUCCAUCUAAUUGCUACCAGUGUGAGUGCAAACAAGGAACCAAGCCAAAAUCAUUCAGCAGGGUCUGGGAAAGGUGAUGAGUUUUACACAGACCUUUUGUAUCUCGAAUCCUAUGAGGAGAGGCUAUUUCUGAGAGAACUCUAGGCUUCUGAGAAAAAACAAAAUUUAGGAAAAAGUUGAUGUUGCAAAUAUUUGGAAUGUUAAAAGAAUGAAAAUAUGACCAGCUUCAAGAUGGCAUUGGAUGGCGAAGAUACUAGAUAGUGGUAAAUAGUUGGAAGGUAAAAUAUAGGAACCCCUAAAAACUUGAAGUUUUGUGAUUCAUUACAUCGAAAAAAACCAUAUAUAUGAUGUAUAUUUAAAUAAACGGAAUUUGGAGGAUACAAUCUAGGACUGUCAAAUCCAGGACUCAAAGUAUUAUAAUGUCCUACCUCUGUUUCCCACAAUACACAAAAGGUAAUAUAUUAGUGUCACGGUUUGGAAGGUAAUACAAAAAUAAAUUUCCAAUUGUAUAUUUACAACACUAUAUGGUAGCUAUUAUACCUUAGUUAACAAGUGUUCCUGAUGGCUGAUAUUCAUAACUCAUUAAGAUAAUUAUAACUUUUAUGGAAGAUGCCGGUUGUAAAACCUUAAAUAUUCAUACACCUCUAUAUGAUACAUGCCCUUGCAAUUAAAACCUUCGAUCUGCCUACAGGAGAAUGCUAUCCACCAAGCUAUAAGCGGAAACCAAUAUCCCCCAUCCCCAAUGUGUGCCCCAGCCCCACAAUAGGUAUCAAAAUGAGCCUAGGGGUGCCAAGAAGUUAGGAACUUGGUGACAAUCUUUUUGUGCUAUUUAGACUACCGGUAUGCAAGCAAUACAAUAAAAAAAAUCUGGACUAAUCCCCCUCCCAAAGAUAUGAAAUAGUUGACCAACAAAACUCAGCACUCUUACGCCACUAAGGCUACCCUAUAACUUUCUUAAACUCCACUGGGACACAAUUUUCUCACUCUCUUUUGCAAGCCAAGCAAAUUCGUUGAAGUUCGUGCUACGCCUAUGAAUACUAUAAGUUCUGAUCACCACUGAGUUAUUCCGAAAUCCUCUACUCUCACAUCCUUCACAAAACCCAUGCCCCAUUUUGGCAGCAGGGCAGUCAUUACAGUUCCCUUCUCAUAAUGAUUAAAGCAAGCAAAUAACAAAUUAACAACUUUGUUCCUAUCUACAAAUUACUUUGCAUCAUAUAUAACAAUCCCAAUUCAGAACAUUGGUUCUCAAUUCAAAGACAAUGUAUUUUCAAACUAGCUAACCGAAGUUCACGAAACAAAUUAUACCAAAUAUCAGAUAUACCUUGAAUUAUUAGUUCUUGGUGAUGAUGCACGGGGAGGAGCUGCCGGUCGAGACGACCGAAACGCCUGACCACCAACUCGACCACCAGACUUGGCAGCUAAUGCUGGAUCAAAUGUACCCAGUGUCAAAAUCCCAGC